GACGAACGCUGGCGGCGUGCUUAACACAUGCAAGUCGAACGGAAAGGCCCUGCUUUUGUGGGGUGCUCGAGUGGCGAACGGGUGAGUAACACGUGAGUAACCUGCCCUUGACUUUGGGAUAACUUCAGGAAACUGGGGCUAAUACCGGAUAGGAGCUCCUGCUGCAUGGUGGGGGUUGGAAAGUUUCGGCGGUUGGGGAGGGACUCGCGGCUUAUCAGCUUGUUGGUGGGGUAGUGGCUUACCAAGGCUUUGGCGGGUAGCCGGCCUGAGAGGGUGACCGGCCCCAUUGGGCCUGAGAUACGGCCCAGCCUCCUCCGGGAGGCAGCGGUGGGGAAUAUUGCACAAUGGGCGGAAGCCUGGUGCAGCAACGCCGCGUGCGGGAUGACGGCCUUCGGGUUGUAAACCGCUUUCGCCUGUGACGAAGCGUGAGUGACGGUAAUGGGUAAAGAAGCACCGGCUAACUACGUG
RNAcentral lists this ribosomal RNA (468 nucleotides) under uncultured bacterium. RNAcentral's name for it is "partial 16S ribosomal RNA". It matches the Rfam family "Bacterial small subunit ribosomal RNA", at positions 28 to 507 of the family's 1533-position model. The record is from RNAcentral.